Molecule: non-coding RNA, 303 nt
Organism: Pelobates cultripes (western spadefoot toad)
Lineage: Eukaryota; Metazoa; Chordata; Amphibia; Anura; Pelobatidae
Source: the annotation of a GenBank genome assembly
CCUCAGUGAACGGAUCACGUGAAAAAUAAUAUUACUCAACAGUGUUUGUCAACCAGGAAAAUGACAUAGAAUAUGACACACGCUUAAAUCUCCACAAAUGAAAGACCCAGGAAUAGCUGGAGACAACAAAGCAUGUUCUAAAUCAGUGGUGGAAAACCUUCAGCCCUCCAGCUGUUGUGGACUACAUUUCCCAUAAUGCUUUUGCCGGCACUCCAGCAGCGACAACAAUGUAUAGGUAAAGGUAGAAAACGCAUGAUUGUUGAUCCAUCGCCUCCUCCUGCGUUCCCAGUCACAAUGUCAAAC